GUGCCUGUCUCAGCAGCACAAACACUACAAUUGGAAUAAUGUGGAGAAAGAUUAUCAUGGCUCCUGCACAAGGAUGACACACAAACUUGUGAAACAUUUUCUAUUGAA
Small nuclear RNA from Camelus dromedarius (Arabian camel), 108 nucleotides. NCBI's taxonomy places the organism in Eukaryota, Metazoa, Chordata, Mammalia, Artiodactyla, Camelidae. The record is from Ensembl.